This 236-nucleotide ribosomal RNA is filed under the name uncultured Actinomycetales bacterium. RNAcentral's name for it is "partial 16S ribosomal RNA". It matches the Rfam family "Bacterial small subunit ribosomal RNA", at positions 97 to 334 of the family's 1533-position model. Lineage: Bacteria; Bacillati; Actinomycetota; Actinomycetes; Actinomycetales. The record is from RNAcentral.
GGCGAACGGGUGAGUAACACGUGAGUAACCUGCCCUUGACUUUGGGAUAACUUCAGGAAACUGAGGCUAAUACCGGAUAGGAGCUCCUGCUGCAUGGUGGGGGUUGGAAAGUUUCGGCGGUUGGGGAUGGACUCGCGGCUUAUCAGCUUGUUGGUGGGGUAGUGGCUUACCAAGGCUUUGACGGGUAGCCGGCCUGAGAGGGUGACCGGCCACAUUGGGACUGAGAUACGGCCCAG